GUUUGAAGGUCGGCUGGAUUUGAGUCUGUUGGUACGUAUUUCCAGUCGUAGUGUUGUGUCGUUUCUUUAAUUUCUAUCACACGAUUCUGAACAAAUCUUCCAAAUGAUUUUAAAGACGAAAUCCAGUGCAGAACGAUCUGACUGUCACUCCAUAGUACUGUGCGUUGUGGUUUUAGGGUUUUCGUGAGGUUUUUAGCCAUUCGAGCUCCUAUUACUGCAGCCAUCAAUUCUAGCUUUGGUAAUGUCAUUUUGGCGAGCGGAGCGAUCCGGUUUUUUGCAAUUACGAGAGAAGAAGUGUUUCCUUUACAUAAGUAGGCACUGGCUCCAUAAGCGCGUUGGCUGGCAUCAACAAAGACAUGUAAUGUUAUUUUCUCGUUGCUUUCGUUCUCAUUUUGAUCGUUGAAAUAAUGUCGUGCGAUUUUCGUAUUAACAGUUACAUCUCGGAUGUCAUCUAAAAUUUCAUACCAUGAUUUAACUAUGUUGCUAGGUAACACCUGGUCCCAAUCGUAUCCUUCUUUCCAUAAUGUUUGUAUCAGUAGCUUAGCUCUUACAGUCACUGGUCCAAGAAUUCCGAGUGGGUCGUAAAUUGACGAUGAUUUACGCAAUACUUCUCUCUUUGUCGCUUGUGAAUUAUCAAUAUCUAUACGAUC
RNAcentral lists this long non-coding RNA (650 nucleotides) under Mytilus galloprovincialis (Mediterranean mussel). Lineage: Eukaryota; Metazoa; Mollusca; Bivalvia; Mytilida; Mytilidae. The record is from RNAcentral.